RNAcentral lists this ribosomal RNA (522 nucleotides) under uncultured Micrococcus sp. RNAcentral's name for it is "bacterial SSU rRNA". It matches the Rfam family "Bacterial small subunit ribosomal RNA", at positions 390 to 920 of the family's 1533-position model. Lineage: Bacteria; Bacillati; Actinomycetota; Actinomycetes; Micrococcales; Micrococcaceae. The record is from RNAcentral.
AGCGACGCCGCGUGAGGGAUGAACGGCCUGUCGGGUUGUAAACCUCUUUCAGUAGGGAAGAAGCGAAAGUGACGGUACCUGCAGAAGAAGCACCGGCUAACUACGUGCCAGCAGCCGCGGUAAUACGUAGGGUGCGAGCGUUAUCCGGAAUUAUUGGGCGUAAAGAGCUCGUAGGCGGUUUGUCGCGUCUGUCGUGAAAGUCCGGGGCUUAACCCCGGAUCUGCGGUGGGUACGGGCAGACUAGAGUGCAGUAGGGGAGACUGGAAUUCCUGGUGUAGCGGUGGAAUGCGCAGAUAUCAGGAGGAACACCGAUGGCGAAGGCAGGUCUCUGGGCUGUAACUGACGCUGAGGAGCGAAAGCAUGGGGAGCGAACAGGAUUAGAUACCCUGGUAGUCCAUGCCGUAAACGUUGGGCACUAGGUGUGGGGACCAUUCCACGGUUUCCGCGCCGCAGCUAACGCAUUAAGUGCCCCGCCUGGGGAGUACGGCCGCAAGGCUAAAACUCAAAGGAAUUGACGGAAUC